AACGAACGCUGGCGGCGUGCCUAACACAUGCAAGUCGAACGAGAAAGUUUCCUUCGGGAAACCAGUAAAGUGGCGCAAGGGUGAGUAACACGUGAAUAAUCUGCCUAUGAAUUUCGGGAUAACUUGACGAAAGUUGCGCUAAUACCGAAUAAGACCACGUCUCUUAUGUGAUGUGGCCAAAAGGAGUCUCAAACUCCGUUUAUAGAUGAGUUCGCGGACCAUUAGCUUGUUGGCGGGAUAAUAGCCCACCAAGGCUACGAUGGUUAGCCGGCCUGAGAGGAUGAUCAGCCACAUUGGGACUGAGACACGGCCCAAAACUCCUACGGGAGGCAGCAGUAGGGAAUCUUGCACAAUGGAGGAAACUCUGAUGCAGCGAUGCCGCGUGAGUGAAG
This 392-nucleotide ribosomal RNA is filed under the name uncultured Nitrospina sp. Its description in RNAcentral is "bacterial SSU rRNA". It matches the Rfam family "Bacterial small subunit ribosomal RNA", at positions 29 to 410 of the family's 1533-position model. The record is from RNAcentral. Lineage: Bacteria; Pseudomonadati; Nitrospinota; Nitrospinia; Nitrospinales; Nitrospinaceae.